RNAcentral lists this small RNA (489 nucleotides) under Malus domestica (apple). RNAcentral describes it as "sRNA MD14G0097600". The record is from RNAcentral. Lineage: Eukaryota; Viridiplantae; Streptophyta; Magnoliopsida; Rosales; Rosaceae.
CUUUAACGCAAAACUCCCAUCUCCCGCAAGCCAUUUCAAAUUCUUUCUCGUCAAAAACUUCGUUCCCGUUCGAAAAUUUCCUUGCCAUUCAAAACCAUGUCGUAAUUGUGUUGUGCUUGUCGUCUCUAACCUCAUUGCAGUUCCACACAGAAGUUUAGAAAAAUCAGGCAAGUUUAUUUGAGGUUGUCCAGUCGGUUUCACAUAAAGGACAUGGUGCUUGAUUGAUUGAAGUUGGGUUCAGAGUCAUUGCUUCCUCAGUACUCCUCAUACUUCAUAUCCCAAAGUAAAUUUAAAAUUUGGUCGGAUGCGGGCUUAUGAAAUGUUGAUAUCGCUUAGUCGAUGUUGAGGAAUGAGAGUAGGAUAGGAUAAUUGUAUUGUAUAAUAGAAUACUUUUGUAUAACCAUUGUACUUAUACAUUUUUUUCAUUACCUAUCAAUGAAGCAUUAUUUUUGAAACAAUUUUGUAUUUUUCAAUUUAUUAUUAUUUUCU